AUGGAAUCUUUCUCUCUUGCUCUUUUGGCGUAUGACCGUCUGAUUGCGAUCUGCUGGCCUCUGCGUUACUCUACAAUAAACACCAACCUGAGGAUGCUGCUCAUAAUAGCAGGGAUUUGGUCUCUGGUUGUUCUGCUGGAGAUUUUCCCAGUCAUUUUUGCAGCCAGACUCCCUUACUGUAGCUCCAGAGAGGUACAGAGCUGCUGUUGUGAACACAGUCCAGUCUAUAAGUUGGCUUGUACGGACACUUCUUUCAACCGACAACUGGGUACAGCUAAGACUCUGACUGCUUUACUAGGCCCUUUGACUUUUAUUAUUUUCACCUAUGCGAUUGUAGUGGUUGCUGUGACACGGAUUGCAUCCAUAUCACAGCGUUGGAAGGCCUUCCACACCUGUCUCACUCACCUGCUGCUGGUCCUGCUCUAUUAUAUGCCUGUCAUGCUGGCAUAUGUACUAGGGAAUCUGCGUUUAAUUCAGAAUUUUGACCUUUACACAGCAGUUCUGACCGUUUCUGUUACCAUCCCCCCAAUGCUGAACCCCAUCAUCUACAGCUUAAAGACUGAUGAACUCAGAGACAAGAUAGUCAAGCUUCUCGGAAAGCCAAAAGUGGCACAACAGAUCAUUAAAAAUGAGGCCAAUGGUUAACAAGAUCUUUG
This is an RNA transcript of Cyprinus carpio (common carp), 656 nucleotides long. It is a transcript of the gene named olfactory receptor 52K1-like, with no coding region annotated. The record is from RefSeq and is a predicted model, not a curated record. The transcript has a single exon. NCBI's taxonomy places the organism in Eukaryota, Metazoa, Chordata, Actinopteri, Cypriniformes, Cyprinidae.